UCAAUGCAUAAUCCGUUCAAAUUCCAAUUUACACUUCCAAUUCAAACCAUUACAUUAACUCAUUCAUUCAAUUCACUUUCCAACGUCCAAUCCAUUUACAUUCAAACUUGUCUAAACAUUUGAAUCUAAUCAUUUUCAAGUUUAUACUUAAAACAUUCCAUUUAUAAUGCAUUCAUUAAAUCUUAAUAGCAUUUUUUUUUCCAUAAACCAUGUAAUUCCAUAUUCAAAUUCUCAUACAUAAUUCAAAUUUCUCCAUCAAUGUAAAUUCAAUAACUUUUAAUACAAUUUAAUUCCAAAUGCUAUUCAAUACACAAAGUUAUACUUUUUACCCUAUUCAAUACACAUUCAAUUUCAAAUUAACUUCCCAAAUCUCAGGCUAUAUUCAAGGUUUCAGGAAAGUAGAAGCUCCCUGCAGUUCAAUUGUCAUUUGAUGUACAUCAUUAACAUUCCAAGUUGUUUAAUUGAGAUAUUCCAAGAAGCUCCCAGCAUGAGUUAUAACAGAAAAUUCACAACUAACAGUUUCUCCUUAACUAACCUAACAGAACAGAUAGACUUAAUUGUCUAACUACAUGUUCAUAACAGAAAAUGAAACUCAACCUUCAAACUGAAACCUAACAGAAAAAACUGAAAAUAGAACUUAACACAUAACAAUCUCUAACCUUCUAACUGUUUCCCAACUAACAAACUUUUUAACCUAACUCAUUCUAACAUUGUAAUCGAACCUCUAACUGAUUUAAACUAACAAGAUUUAACAGAAUUAAUCUCUGUUAAAUCCAGCUCCUAUAUAAGCUAAACGAUCAGUUUUUAAUCACCAUUUUUUUGCAGAAAUCACAGAAGCUCUCUCACUCUCGCACACCUUUCAUCAAUUUCAAACAAGAACACGCACAAUCGAAAACUCAGAAGCACGAUACAACAGAAAAGAGGGAGAAGAAGAAGCAGAAAAAACGUACAAUCGAAAACUCAGAAGAGAAAGAGAAUUACCUGCGAACGUCACUGACGACACCGGAGCCACCGCAUCGGAGUCAAAUCCGUUUAGCUUUCGUCUGCUUUCUUUCUGUCGACUAAUGAUUCUUCCGCGUUGCAAUACCAGAAUGCGUCACCAAUCGCAAAACAAUGCAUAAACUCAAAGUGCAGCGUCACCAUUUCAAUGUUGUGCAUACGAUCUCGACGAGUUGGAGAAGAAGAAGGAAGGAUCGAAACUGAGGAGGGAUAAGAGUUGUUAUCCGUUCAUAACUCCGUUUCAGUGAGUUUCUUCUGCCGGAUCGAGAUUCUUGAACGCGACGCAGACGUCCAUGACCCUUACAAGUACGAUUGAUGUCGAUUCGAGUUGAUUCGAAGAAGACAAAUCCGACUUCGUCGAUUGGAGAAUUCGAUACUUUUGUUUUUCUCCGUGGAUUUUGCGCUUGAGUGUUCGUCGGAGGGAGUGGAGGAAACGCGUGAAAACGGCCGAGGGAUUCUACAUGUUUGCUAGGUUGGAGGUUUAAGUGUAUACACAUGGGUCGGGUGUACCAGUUGGUUAAUUAGUUAACUAGAAUAAUAGAAUUUUUAGAAUUUAGUUAAUUAGGAUUAACUUAAUUAGGUUAAUUAGAAAUAAUUAGAAUUAGAUAUUUUUCUAGAAUUUAAG
Molecule: long non-coding RNA, 1624 nt
Filed under: Lathyrus oleraceus (garden pea)
Lineage: Eukaryota; Viridiplantae; Streptophyta; Magnoliopsida; Fabales; Fabaceae
Description: Pisum sativum (pea) long non-coding RNA (PSAT_LNC010941)
Source: RNAcentral